RNAcentral lists this unclassified non-coding RNA (335 nucleotides) under uncultured Mortierellaceae. RNAcentral describes it as "sequence contains ITS2". The record is from RNAcentral. Lineage: Eukaryota; Fungi; Mortierellomycota; Mortierellomycetes; Mortierellales; Mortierellaceae.
AACGCACAUUGCACUCUCUGGUAUUCCGGAGAGUAUGCUUGUUUGAGUAUCUGUAAACAUCUCAAAUCUCUCGACUUUCGAGUUUGAGAGAAUUGGACUUGAGCAAUCCCAACUCCUUCGUCAGAAAGAGGAGGAUUGCUUGAAAUGCAGGUGCAGCUGGGCAUUCUUCUGAGCUAAAAGCAUAUUUAUUUAGUCCCGUCAAACGGAUUAUUAUUCUUGCUUCAGCUUACAUAAAGGUUGAAUGACUACCGAGGCUGAUUGCAGGUAAACUCGUUCCGUUAAAAAGAACUUGUGAACUCGAUCUCAAAUCAAGUAAGACUACCCGCUGAACUUAA